This 522-nucleotide ribosomal RNA is filed under the name uncultured Streptococcus sp. Its description in RNAcentral is "bacterial SSU rRNA". It matches the Rfam family "Bacterial small subunit ribosomal RNA", at positions 65 to 573 of the family's 1533-position model. Lineage: Bacteria; Bacillati; Bacillota; Bacilli; Lactobacillales; Streptococcaceae. The record is from RNAcentral.
CGCUGAAGGAGGAGCUUGCUUCUCUGGAUGAGUUGCGAACGGGUGAGUAACGCGUAGGUAACCUGCCUGGUAGCGGGGGAUAACUAUUGGAAACGAUAGCUAAUACCGCAUAAUAGUAGAUGUUGCAUGACAUUUACUUAAAAGGUGCAAUUGCAUCACUACCAGAUGGACCUGCGUUGUAUUAGCUAGUUGGUGGGGUAACGGCUCACCAAGGCGACGAUACAUAGCCGACCUGAGAGGGUGAUCGGCCACACUGGGACUGAGACACGGCCCAGACUCCUACGGGAGGCAGCAGUAGGGAAUCUUCGGCAAUGGACGGAAGUCUGACCGAGCAACGCCGCGUGAGUGAAGAAGGUUUUCGGAUCGUAAAGCUCUGUUGUAAGAGAAGAACGAGUGUGAGAGUGGAAAGUUCACACUGUGACGGUAUCUUACCAGAAAGGGACGGCUAACUACGUGCCAGCAGCCGCGGUAAUACGUAGGUCCCGAGCGUUGUCCGGAUUUAUUGGGCGUAAAGCGAGCGCA